This 520-nucleotide ribosomal RNA is filed under the name uncultured Glomus. RNAcentral describes it as "SSU rRNA". It matches the Rfam family "Eukaryotic small subunit ribosomal RNA", at positions 569 to 1092 of the family's 1831-position model. The record is from RNAcentral. Lineage: Eukaryota; Fungi; Glomeromycota; Glomeromycetes; Glomerales; Glomeraceae.
AGCAGCCGCGGUAAUUCCAGCUCCAAUAGCGUAUAUUAAAGUUGUUGCAGUUAAAAAGCUCGUAGUUGAAUUUCGGGAUCAAUUUGCUGGUCGUGCCUUCGGUACGCACUGGUAUUAUUGGUUUCUCCUUUCUGAUGAAUCGCGAUGUCAUUAAUUUGGUGUCGUGGGGAAUCAGGACCGUUACUUUGAAAAAUUAGAGUGUUUAAAGCAGGCUCACGCUUGAAUACAUUAGCAUGGAAUAAUGAAAUAGGACGUUUGAUUCUAUUUUGUUGGUUUCUAGGAUCGACGUAAUGAUUAAUAGGGAUAGUUGGGGGCAUUAGUAUUCAAUUGUCAGAGGUGAAAUUCUUGGAUUUAUUGAAGACUAACUACUGCGAAAGCAUUUGCCAAGGAUGUUUUCAUUAAUCAAGAACGAAAGUUAGGGGAUCGAAGACGAUCAGAUACCGUCGUAGUCUUAACCAUAAACUAUGCCGACUAGGGAUCGGAUGAUGUUAAUUUUUAAUGACUCAUUCGGCGCCUUACG